AUGACAAAAAAAUUGCCGCUGCACUUGUUAAAGAAUGCUCAGAUAAUGCGAACCCAGGUAAACUUUAGCAAGGCUCUCCCGAGGCCUCGGCGACAUUUGGCUGACGACGUGGGAGAAGGAAGGGGCAGUAGUAUCUGGAACAUCUGCUGUCGCAAAGACCAAAGAGGUGAUACUGAGAUCUUUCAUCAAGAAGCAGAAUGGGAGGCUAAAUCAAACCAAGGGCAUAGAUGCAUUGGAACCACGUUUUUUAAGGAAUCAUUCUCCUGA
Molecule: long non-coding RNA, 267 nt
Filed under: Struthio camelus australis
Lineage: Eukaryota; Metazoa; Chordata; Aves; Struthioniformes; Struthionidae
Description: lncRNA (ENSSCUG00000008976.1)
Source: RNAcentral